UCGAGAAUCUUCCGCAAUGGGCGCAAGCCUGACGGAGCGACACCGCGUACAGGAUGAAGGCCUUCGGGUUGUAAACUGUUGUCACGCUAUGGGAAUCGUUCGCGGUAAAUAGCCGCGAUCCUGACUAAAGCGAGAGGAAGCACCGGCUAACUCUGUGCCAGCAGCCGCGGUAAGACAGAGGGUGCAAACGUUGUUCGGAAUCACUGGGCAUAAAGCGCACGUAGGCGGUCCAUUAAGUCAGGUGUGAAAGCCCCCGGCUCAACCGGGGAAUGGCACUUGAUACUGAUGGGCUUGAGGAUGAGAUGGGUGGGCGGAACUCCAGGUGGAGCGGUGAAAUGCGUAGAUAUCUGGAGGAACACCGGUGGCGAAAGCGGCCCACUGGACCAUCACUGACGCUGAGGUGCGAAAGCUAGGGUAGCAAACGG
This 425-nucleotide ribosomal RNA is filed under the name uncultured bacterium. RNAcentral describes it as "bacterial SSU rRNA". It matches the Rfam family "Bacterial small subunit ribosomal RNA", at positions 355 to 775 of the family's 1533-position model. The record is from RNAcentral.